RNAcentral lists this ribosomal RNA (347 nucleotides) under uncultured Streptococcus sp. RNAcentral describes it as "bacterial SSU rRNA". It matches the Rfam family "Bacterial small subunit ribosomal RNA", at positions 1033 to 1382 of the family's 1533-position model. Lineage: Bacteria; Bacillati; Bacillota; Bacilli; Lactobacillales; Streptococcaceae. The record is from RNAcentral.
GACAGGUGGUGCAUGGUUGUCGUCAGCUCGUGUCGUGAGAUGUUGGUUAAGUCCCGCAACGAGCGCAACCCCUAUUGUUAGUUGCCAUCAUUCAGUUGGGCACUCUAGCGAGACUGCCGGUAAUAAACCGGAGGAAGGUGGGGAUGACGUCAAAUCAUCAUGCCCCUUAUGACCUGGGCUACACACGUGCUACAAUGGUUGGUACAACGAGUUGCGAGUCGGUGACGGCGAGCUAAUCUCUUAAAGCCAAUCUCAGUUCGGAUUGUAGGCUGCAACUCGCCUACAUGAAGUCGGAAUCGCUAGUAAUCGCGGAUCAGCACGCCGCGGUGAAUACGUUCCCGGGCCUU